Molecule: long non-coding RNA, 200 nt
Filed under: Theropithecus gelada (gelada)
Lineage: Eukaryota; Metazoa; Chordata; Mammalia; Primates; Cercopithecidae
Description: lncRNA (ENSTGEG00000000007.1)
Source: RNAcentral
GAGAAGUCUGCAUCGGCUGCUCAUCUGCUCAUCAUGACUAGGGUCGGGCAAGACUUCAACAAGAAAAACUUAAGCUUCGUUGGAUUCCCACGUCAAAGGAAAGUUUCAAGUUUUCAGAAGGAGUUCUCACUCGAAGAUAAAGAACAGCUCGCUAACCACAAAAGAGGAACUGAUGCUAAGCUUUUAGUUGCACUUCCUAA